This 27-nucleotide non-coding RNA is filed under the name Homo sapiens (human). Lineage: Eukaryota; Metazoa; Chordata; Mammalia; Primates; Hominidae. The record is from RNAcentral.
UGACCAGGUCCCUCUGUGUUGGUUGCU